RNA transcript from Canis lupus familiaris (dog), 953 nucleotides. RefSeq lists it as uncharacterized. The record is from RefSeq and is a predicted model, not a curated record. The transcript is spliced from 4 exons. NCBI's taxonomy places the organism in Eukaryota, Metazoa, Chordata, Mammalia, Carnivora, Canidae.
GCUGCUUUCCUUGCCCAGGCCUCUGCUCAGCUGAUGGUUCACUGCUGUGACUCCACGAUAAAUGGCAUGUGCUCUGCCUGGACACUUGACAUAGUGAAAGCACGUUGUCUGCUGGCACCUUGCCAGGCACUUUGUUUUCACAACCCCAUGAGGUGGAUACUAUUAUCAACCCCGCUUUAUAGAUGAGGACACUGAGGCCCCAGACCUCUAUGUCAGCUGCCAUAUUAAGGCAGAUGUCAUGUGCUGUGGUGAAGAUGGGAUCCGAACGCCCGGCAGCCUGGAUCCAGAUUUGGAGACUGAGACUGAGGGCUCUGGCGUCAGCGGGAGCUGGGCUGGAAUCGUCCAGAUUCUUACCUAGAAUCUUCCAGGGACCACUUACUCCUUCUGCUUCCACUGGCUCCUGGGCUGUGGGUUGGAAUAUACAGGAGAGGAAAGGGGACUUUAGGACAAGUGCCAAGAACUUUGCAGAAAUCUUCCUUGCUCAUCCUGUACAAAUCUGUGAAGCCUUCUGGGUCUCCUCCGUGCCGAGUGGCACUGAGGCCAGCUCUGCGCUGCUGGCCCUUCAGCUCCUGGCUCUGGUUCUUCUCUGGCCCCCUCUCAUGGCACAGAAGACUCUCCGGGGGUGUGCUGAGUGCAGAAAGCAAGUUGACCAUCAGCAGAGAGGGCAAGAUGAGGAAGGUGAGGCUGCCAAAGAAGAAUCACCAAAAGCAGUUGGCAGAGUCCACAGCUCCCGAUCUUUGGCCUGCUCCAAGCUGUCUCCCGGGACAGGGACAAGGACCUUCCUUGGGAAUGGGACUUGGCUCCAAUCCUGGCUCUCCCUCCACGAGCAGGCAGCAGCCCCUGUAGGCACAUGGGAAAACAAGCCUCCUGGGGCACUAGGAGGCAAAAACACACAUAAAUAAAACUUGAACCCCAGUGCCCGCUGCGAAGAUUAGGCAUAUAUUUAUAAAAAU